CAUCUAGGGGGCCGAAAUUCUGUCCUAGUUCAUCAAGAGAGGCACUCGAGGGAAUCUCCCAGAGGAACUCGGAGUGGACACCUAAGACGCUUGUUUAAGAACUACUCGCUUGUUUUGACUAGGGUUCGAGACCAAGGGUGCUCGUGAGUAGUACUAGAUUGU
Molecule: non-coding RNA, 162 nt
Organism: Coffea arabica (coffee)
Lineage: Eukaryota; Viridiplantae; Streptophyta; Magnoliopsida; Gentianales; Rubiaceae
Source: RefSeq, a predicted model, not a curated record